Non-coding RNA from Myodes glareolus (Bank vole), 240 nucleotides. Lineage: Eukaryota; Metazoa; Chordata; Mammalia; Rodentia; Cricetidae. The record is from RefSeq and is a predicted model, not a curated record.
UGAACAUAUCCUAAGUAUCUUUUGGUCAUUUGGAUCUGAGAGGUACAGUUCUCUGAAAGCUACUUUCAUCAAUACUAUGAAACUCCUCACCAUCUUUCACUGUGAUUUCUGGACCCAGAACUUCAACUAUGGGUGCUGUCCCAUAAGAAACUGUACAAAUAAAUGUGAGGAUCACAAACAUCUUGUCAACAUUAAAAGUUUUUUGAAUGUACAACAAUCAAAAAUUAAUUAAAAACCUAU